This 787-nucleotide ribosomal RNA is filed under the name Aphelenchoides sp. Taiwan. RNAcentral's name for it is "eukaryotic LSU rRNA". The stretch from base 690 to 787 matches the Rfam family "Eukaryotic large subunit ribosomal RNA", at positions 1 to 98 of the family's 3401-position model. Lineage: Eukaryota; Metazoa; Nematoda; Chromadorea; Rhabditida; Aphelenchoididae. The record is from RNAcentral.
CGUAACAAGGUAGCUGUAGGUGAACCUGCCGAUGGAUCAUUAACGACUAUGAUCAAAAAACUCAAGACUUUAAAGGCAAAGACUACGAAAAGGUAUGAUGUCUUUUUAGUCGCCAAUUGCUGGUCUUUUUUAAGAUUUCAGUUUCAUGAUAAACGGCUAGAUUGGGUCUCUAAGGUUGGCGGAGCAGUUGUUCGUAAGACCGUGGCUGCAACGAUGCCGGCUGGUAGAGUCGCUUUACAUGGCUUGAUUCUAGAGUUAAUAACCCGUUGCGGUGCCCAAAAAUCAUAUUAUUCAUUAAAAUUUUUUCAAAAACAUAGCAAUAAAUUAAGCUAUAUCGGUGGAUCACUUGGCUCGUAGAUCGAUGAAGAACGCAGUGAAUUGCGUUAAGAAUCACGAAUUACAGAUAUUAUGAGUGACAUGUUUUCGAUUGCAUAUUGCAUUGUCAAGCAUUUGCUUGUCAGUAUAUUCAACUCAGGGUGUGUAACACUAUAAAGUGAAUUCAAAUUUAUUCAACAAAAAUUAAUACUAUGCGCUUGAUGAUAGUAUUAAAAUUAGAGCUUCUCAAAAGCUUUGAUUAAAGUGCGACUGUUUAGCAGUAAAUUGUAUUGUGUUAUUCAUAAUUUCUUGAUGAUAUUUUACAUUUUUCUGCAAAAUAGCAGUUUCAAGCACUAACCAAUUGUUUGGUUGAAUCCACCUGAGUCGAGUAUGAUUACCUGCUGAACUUAAGCAUAUCAGUAAGCAGAGGAAAAGAAACUAACAAGGAUUUCCUUAGUAACGGCGAGUGAAA